AUUGAACGCUGGCGGCAGGCCUAACACAUGCAAGUCGAGCGAGCGGCGAACGGGUGAGUGAUGUAUGGGGACAGCCCGUGAGAGGGGGAUAACUAAUGGGAAAGGUGGCUAAUACCGCAUACUGUCGGAGUGUCCACAUGGGAGUAGCUAGUAGGUAAGGUAAUGGCUUACCUAGGCGACGAUCCCUAGCUGGUCUGAGAGGAUGAUCAGCCACACUGGGACUGAGACACGGCCCAGACUCCUACGGAGGCAGCAGUGGGGAAUAUUGCACAAUGGGCGCAAGCCUGAUGCAGCCAUGCCGCGUGUAUGAAGAAGGCCCUAGGGUUGUAAAGUACUUUCAGUCGGGAGGCGUUACCGACAGAAGAAGCACCGGCUAACUCCGUGCCAGCAGCCGCGGUAAUAC
RNAcentral lists this ribosomal RNA (403 nucleotides) under uncultured bacterium. Its description in RNAcentral is "partial 16S ribosomal RNA". It matches the Rfam family "Bacterial small subunit ribosomal RNA", at positions 30 to 526 of the family's 1533-position model. The record is from RNAcentral.